This 30-nucleotide non-coding RNA is filed under the name Homo sapiens (human). The record is from RNAcentral. Lineage: Eukaryota; Metazoa; Chordata; Mammalia; Primates; Hominidae.
UCUGAUGCCAAACCAAAAUUCAGGGUGAGC